AGUGAACGCUGGCGGCAUGCCUAACACAUGCAAGUCGAACGGCAGCACGAUCUGAGCUGCCAGAUAGAGGGCGCGAGGCGCACGGGUGUGAGAUAUACCGGAAAAUGCACUGUUUCGGGGGGGAAAAAGUCGAAAGACUAGCGAAAAUACCAUAUACCCCGAGGGGGAAAGUGGGGGGCCGCAAGGGCCCAUGCGAUAGGAGAGGCGGAUGUCUGAUUAGCUAGUGGGUGAGGUGAAGGCGCACCAAGGCGACGAUCAGUAGCUGGUCUGAGAGGACGAUCAGCCACACUGGGACUGAGACACGGCCCAGACUCCUACGGGAGGCAGCAGUGGGGAAUUUUGGACAAUGGGCGAAAGCCUGAUCCAGCAAUGCCGCGUGUGUGAAGAAGGCCUUCGGGUUGUAAAGCACUUUUGUCCGGAAAGAAAUGGCUCUGGUUAAUACCUGGGGUCGAUGACGGUACCGGAAGAAUAAGGACCGGCUAACUACGUG
Molecule: ribosomal RNA, 490 nt
Filed under: uncultured bacterium
Lineage: Bacteria
Description: partial 16S ribosomal RNA
Rfam family: Bacterial small subunit ribosomal RNA
Source: RNAcentral